CUGUAAUCUGCUGCGGACAGAUAAAGUGGAUCUACCGACGGUACCAGUCAGCGUUCGGACCAAACCACUUUGACCACGGAUAGAACGCACAUGCGAGUCCGUCGCGCCGUAGGUGACAAUUUUGCCCUCCCCCGCAAUCACGUCCGUAUUGGACCCAACCACCAUGUUGACGUCCACCCCAUCCAUCACAUCCGGGUUUCCAGCCUUACCGACCCCGACGAUGAGGCCGUCCUUCACCCCGAUAUCGGCUUUAUAUAUCCCCGUGUAGUCCACCACCAGCGCAUUCGUAACCACCAUAUCCAGACACUCGUCGUCGCCACGGCCGCUCGCCUGGCCCAUCCCCUCGCGCAG
Molecule: small RNA, 351 nt
Filed under: Drechslerella stenobrocha 248
Lineage: Eukaryota; Fungi; Ascomycota; Orbiliomycetes; Orbiliales; Orbiliaceae
Description: 5' ureB small RNA
Rfam family: 5' ureB small RNA
Source: Rfam by way of RNAcentral